GAUGAACGCUAGCGGCAGGCCUAAUACAUGCAAGUCGAGGGAGAAUGCUGGAUUCGUCUGACAUGAAACCGGCGCACGGGUGCGUAACACGUAUGCAACCUACCUUUAACUGGGGUAUAGCUCAGAGAAAUCUGAAUUAAUCCCCCAUAAGACUACGACAUGGCAUCAUGAUGUAGUUAAAGCUCCGGCGGUUAAGGAUGGGCAUGCGGUACAUUAGCUAGUUGGUGAGGUAAUGGCUCACCAAGGCUACGAUGUAUAGGGGGUCUGAGAGGAUGAUCCCCCACACUGGUACUGAGACACGGACCAGACUCCUACGGGAGGCAGCAGCAGGGAAUAUUGGUCAAUGGACGCAAGUCUGAACCAGCCAUGCCGCGUGAAGGAUGAAGGCCCUAUGGGUCGUAAACUUCUUUUAUUAGGGAAGAAAAAACGGGAUGCGUCCUGUACUGACGGUACUUAAUGAAUAAGGAUCGGCUAACUUCGUGCCAGCCGCCGCAGUAA
RNAcentral lists this ribosomal RNA (498 nucleotides) under uncultured bacterium. RNAcentral describes it as "partial 16S ribosomal RNA". It matches the Rfam family "Bacterial small subunit ribosomal RNA", at positions 28 to 523 of the family's 1533-position model. The record is from RNAcentral.